GCCCUCGUAGCUCAGCUGGAUAGAGCAACGGCCUUCUAAUCCGUAGCGCGCACGUUCGAAUCGUGCCGAGGGCGCCA
RNAcentral lists this transfer RNA (77 nucleotides) under Ilumatobacteraceae bacterium. Its description in RNAcentral is "tRNA-Arg". It matches the Rfam family "tRNA". From Rfam's summary of the family: Transfer RNA (tRNA) molecules are approximately 80 nucleotides in length. Their secondary structure includes four short double-helical elements and three loops (D, anti-codon, and T loops). The record is from RNAcentral. Lineage: Bacteria; Bacillati; Actinomycetota; Acidimicrobiia; Acidimicrobiales; Ilumatobacteraceae. RNAcentral also lists the same sequence under 2 other names.